This 447-nucleotide ribosomal RNA is filed under the name uncultured bacterium. RNAcentral's name for it is "SSU rRNA". It matches the Rfam family "Bacterial small subunit ribosomal RNA", at positions 26 to 518 of the family's 1533-position model. The record is from RNAcentral.
AGAACGAACGCUGGCGGCAGGCUUAACACAUGCAAGUCGAGCGGGUAGCGAAUAACCGAGCGGCAGACGGGUGAGUAACACGUGGGAACCUUCCUAGAGGUACGGAACAACGCAGGGAAACUUGCGCUAAUACCGUAUGUGCUCUUGCGAGGAAAGAUUUAUCGCCUUUAGACGGGCCCGCGUCGGAUUAGCUAGUUGGUGGGGUAAUGGCCUACCAAGGCAACGAUCCGUAGCUGAUCUGAGAGGAUGAUCAGCCACACUGGAACUGAGACACGGUCCAGACUCCUACGGGAGGCAGCAGUGGGGAAUCUUGGACAAUGGGCGCAAGCCUGAUCCAGCCAUGCCGCGUGAGUGAAGAAGGCCUUCGGGUUGUAAAGCUCUUUUGUCAGGGACGAUAAUGACGGUACCUGAAGAAUAAGCCCCGGCAAACUUCGUGCCAGCAGCCGC